CAUGUCAGAAUUCCUUAUUUUAUAAUUAUUUUCUCUAUAUUUAUCCUUGUAAGUACCCUAUACAUUUGUUUUAAAAGCCGUUUUUGUGUUAAUCGUCCUCACUAGCUUGAAUGUUGUAUGGAAAAUGUUCCAGGAACCAAAAAAGUGACAGGAAUUAGCACCUAAUACUUCUGUCGUUAGCAACUCUGGCCAAAGCUUUGGAAUUCCUUUGAUGCCGUUCUUAUGCCUGGUCUAAGGGAGUGUUUAGGGUGACAAGCUUUAUUUGAGAGGAGAGUUGGGCCUUUGCCCUGUCCCACAGUCACAGUUGGGGGUUGGUUACAAUAGAGAAGCACUGCCAUGCUGCCAUCACCAUGACGAGCUCUGGCUCAGAGGACUGUGUCCUGGUCCAGAAAGACGCCGCUUUCUGUCUGUCUCACUGACUGGGGUGUCCUGAGUCGCUCCAAAAAGAGGAGUCAAGGCUCUUUUUGCCAGCUGCUGUCACUCAUCUGUCCUGCCUCUUACAGCACUGACGCUCAUCCCACUAUCUGUUAAAACCUGGCCGAGGCCAGCCAGCUUUCACUACUGUAAUCAACUGCAGGAUUUGUGAAUGG
Molecule: long non-coding RNA, 590 nt
Organism: Carassius carassius (crucian carp)
Lineage: Eukaryota; Metazoa; Chordata; Actinopteri; Cypriniformes; Cyprinidae
Exons: 3
Source: RefSeq, a predicted model, not a curated record